CAGCUAUAUUAGUUUGAAACACGGGUCCCUGUACGAUCACCGAAGUUAAGCAAUGUUGAUACUGGUCAGUACCUAGAUGAGUGACCACUUGGUAAUACUAGGUGCUAUA
Molecule: non-coding RNA, 109 nt
Organism: Acanthosepion pharaonis
Lineage: Eukaryota; Metazoa; Mollusca; Cephalopoda; Sepiida; Sepiidae
Source: the annotation of a GenBank genome assembly